Molecule: ribosomal RNA, 465 nt
Filed under: uncultured bacterium
Lineage: Bacteria
Description: partial 16S ribosomal RNA
Rfam family: Bacterial small subunit ribosomal RNA
Source: RNAcentral
GACGAACGCUGGCGGCGUGCUUAACACAUGCAAGUCGAACGGAAAGGCCCCUUUGGGGGUCCUCGAGUGGCGAACGGGUGAGUAACACGUGAGUAACCUUCCCUUUACUCCUGGAUAACUUCAGGAAACUGGGGCUACUACCGGAAAGACAUCAUUGCUGCUUGGUGGGGGUUGGAAAGCUUCGGCGGUUUUGGAUGGACUGGCGGCCUAUCGUCUUGUUGGUGGGUUAGUGGGUUACCAAGGCUCUGACGUGUAGCCGGCCAGAGAGGGCGAGCGGCCACACAGGGACUUAGAGACGGCCCAGACGCCGACGAGAGGAAGAAGUGGGGAAGAUUGAACAAGGGGCGGCAGGCGGAUGCAGCAAGGCCGCGUGCGGGAUGACCGCCUUCGGGUUGAAAAACGGCUUCAGCAGGAGCGAAGCUUGUGGUGACGGUACCUGCAGAAGAAGCACCGGCUAACUACGUG